GAUGAACGAUGGCGGCGUGCCUAAUACAUGCAAGUCGAGCGAACAGAUAAGGAGCUUGCUCCUUUGACGUUAGCGGCGGACGGGUGAGUAACACGUGGAUAACCUACCUAUAAGACUGGGAUAACUUCGGGAAACCGGAGCUAAUACCGGAUAACAUCUUGAACCGCAUGGUUCAAUAGUGAAAGGCGACUUUGCUGUCACUUAUAGAUGGAUCCGCGCCGUAUUAGCUAGUUGGUAAGGUAACGGCUUACCAAGGCAACGAUACGUAGCCGACCUGAGAGGGUGAUCGGCCACACUGGAACUGAGACACGGUCCAGACUCCUACGGGAGGCAGCAGUAGGGAAUCUUCCGCAAUGGGCGAAAGCCUGACGGAGCAACGCCGCGUGAGUGAUGAAGGUCUUCGGAUCGUAAAACUCUGUUAUCAGGGAAGAACAAAUGUGUAAGUAACUGUGCACAUCUUGACGGUACCCGAUCAGAAAGCCACGGCUAACUACGUGCCAGCCGCCGCUGUAA
This 513-nucleotide ribosomal RNA is filed under the name uncultured bacterium. RNAcentral's name for it is "partial 16S ribosomal RNA". It matches the Rfam family "Bacterial small subunit ribosomal RNA", at positions 28 to 523 of the family's 1533-position model. The record is from RNAcentral.